ACACCUCCCCGAGGGCUGUGCCUGCCCUCUGCUCGUUCCCUCACUGCUGUCCCGAGUUCUCCCUCAGUUAUGUUCCAUUUUCCCCUCCGUUUUGUCCCUCUUCGAUCUCUGCACGCUCCAAGGCUGGGAAAGGGGCCUCGCCACAUGCAACACGCCAUCACAGGGGCACAGCUUAGCUCCCCUCAUUCCCUCACUGCUGUCCCAAGGUUUCCCGCACUCAGAGCUGAUUUCCUCCUCAGUUCUGAUUUUCAUCAUCCUUUUUUCACCCCCAUACCCCCAAAGUAGCCUUUCCCCUCAGUGUUGUGGCUUGUGGGCAUGAGGGAAGAGACUUUCCUCUUGAGAGCCAUCAUCCUUCUUUGCUUCGAGGUGGCAAAAGGCAGCUUCACCAAGGGAGCAGGUCACCAUGGCAGUCUUGGCUACCGAGCUUCUGGUUCACAACCAAGGAAUCAGCCUCCUUAUCCCAGCCAUUGUGUGGUCAAUGCCAAUGUAAACACCACAGAAGGGCAUCCCAAAUCACAGCACAGCCUCUAGCCAGGAGGAGCAGCAUGUGCCAGCACGGAGGGGAAUGAAGAGUCCACAUGGACCCUCAGGGUUCAGAGAGGCAGCAGUGGUUAAACAGGCUGCGGCUGAUCUGAAAAUGUCAAAGGGGACUGAAGGUCAAAAUUUCCAUAAAUUAGUCCCUGGCUUGCUACCUAUCAAGUAAUAGGAUUCUCUGGCCAGUUAACACUGUGAAGUCAAGGCAAUCAGCCCAGCAGUUCCCCUGCAGCCCAGUUCCCUGCCCCUCUCCUGAACUGGCUCAAGACCAUGUGUGCAAGGGGAAGGAGUGUCUUCAGAGCUGCUUUCCUCCUCGGAGAAAAAAGGAGCAGGACAAAGAGACACUGGGCAGGGGUGAGUGCACCAUCCUUUUGUCCUAGAAAGCCCUGUUUUAACUUGGGGAACAGUCGAGAGGAGACUGGUUUUUCUGUUUCUUGUUUUGAGAAAACUACAAUGCAAUCUUUCCCAGACCUAAAUAAUGUAUGUUUCUAAAGGUAGAUUUCAGUACAACACGUGUUCAGCUCAGAAGUGGUUGUUAUGGUUUAGGAGUUGCUGAGUUCCAAACAGCUGAAGACACAAAGCACUGCUGAGCAUCCCCCAGCACUGGUAGGGAUGUUGACUUCAUUUAUGAGUGGCAAAACUGCUGCUGGUUCUUGCAAGGCAUGUGUAGACACACCUAAUGUUGGUAUUGUUAUUAUGGUGGUUGUUGUUGUUGUUCUGCAGCGUGUGUGUGAGCUGUGGUGGUAUUAUUGUUAUGGUUAUGAUUAGUAAUUUGUUUAAAGUUAGUAGUGUGUUGCACAGGGCAGGCAGGUGGUAAGAAAUGCUCCUGUCCUGAUGGUUGUGAUGGAAGUGACUCAGACUUUGGUCAGUAUCUGGAGUCACAGUAUCUUGCUCUUGGCCCGUGAAAAUCAGCCUAAAUGGAAACUUGGUGAAGGAUUCAGUGUGCAGACACAGAUGUAUAUAUGGUGUGGUAGAAUUAUGCCUGGUGAAAUGGGAUUUAAAUAUUGCACUGUGCCCUGUCAAAGGAGAAAAGGAGAAAAACAAUUUUUUUCAGCUGAGGCCAUGUUGCUUUACUGAAACCUUCCUUAGUUCAGCACUUCUUCAUUUGCUGAAAGGAAUCACCAGGGACUGGUGCAUUCCUGUGUCUUGGCCUGGGAAAAGGGAAACUGGGCCCUUGUGUGUAUGGUGGGACAAGGAGGAAGGAAAAGUCUGGACGGGAGUUUUCUAAAGCAGCUGAGUAGAGACAAACAGGUGCAAACACAGUGGUACAAGGGCAGCAGUGUGAAGGCACAGCCUGGGGGAGAGUGACCUCCACUACCAGCACUGUCUCCAAAGGAAAAAUCCUGCCUUGCUGUGAAUUUGAGUGUAAAACUGCAAAUAAGAAGUAGGGAGUCAAGUAGCAGAAAACUAGGGAAUAUUCCAGCAGGACUGUAUCUGUUAAGAUUUUCUCUCAGGCAGUGGUGCCAUCCUGACAACAAUAACAACAAUUAGAGGGCUUUUUGAGGCACACAUUUCUCAGAGCUUCUCCAACUUUUUUUUCAUUGAUCUGUUUGUUACAAAACACAGAAUCCCAGGCCCAGUCCUGAAACAAGUGGGAGGUCAUAAGAGAGGGACGGUGUGGACAGUGGGGGCAGGAACCCAGACAGCCCUCCUGAUGUGAGCAGCUCUGCUCCUGGAUAAAAGCUGGUAUCUUUUCUCAAAUCCACCGGGAUAUGAGCCUCUCCAUGCUUUUAUGAGUCCUCUGCCUUCUGUUUUCCUAGCUGUUCUCUUAGCUAGGUUUGAGUACUUUAGGAAUCUGCCGUCCCACAGACAUGGCAGAGAGUCAGCAUCACGUGCUAAGUUUCCUUCCACUGCUGCCAGGCUUGAAAGACAAAUACAGUGAGGGAAGAAAGAGACAGGAUACAAACACCUACAUCAGGACUUUUUCUGAAGCAGGCUGGGUGGCAAAACAGGAAGAAUGCUAGGAAUGUCCAUUCUGGUUCACUGUCGAACCCGAGCCUUGAGAACACCCACAGUGUAACUCCAGUCCCAGUAAGAAUGGCUCGGGCCACGGUGGGAUGUAACUGUGCUCUCUGGUUCUCCCCAAAGAAGAGCAGCCUUCCCUCUCUCCUCAUCAGGAGCCAUGACACUGUGAAGGCACCAAAUGUCCUGAUGACACUGUUGAAAGGCACCAAAGCAGCAGCAUCACUGAAGGGGGUAUGACCACAGAGCAGGACCCAGGUCUGUCAGACCCAGACCACCCUUGCCUGGCACACUGCAAUUGUUCACCUCAGGCCAAAAUGAUUCCAAGCAUGAGGGCAGAAAACCAAUGCUCACUGCACAGGUCCAGAUGUGAUACAAAGAGCAGGAAUCACAUCCAUAGUACUGGACCUGGAAACCACAUGCCAAUAAUGAUUAAUUUUGCAGAGUGGCAGAGUUCAAAUCAAAGGAACCUUUCUGCCUGAAAAGCAGAGGCUAUUUAUCAAGAGAUAAAAUCACCUCCUGAUAGAUCUACUCAUUUAUUUUUAGGCAACCCCUACAUCAGAAAUUUUUUCAACCUUGACUCCCUAGUUUGGCUGUCUGCUCCUGUGAAGGCCACAGCCCCCUCAAGUGAUGGCUGCACCUGCUCUGGCCCUGCUACCCUCACCAGACAAACAGCCCUCCUAGCAGUGACUUGGAACAAACUGUCUGGCAGGAAACGGGGAUGAAAAGCACAAGAAUCUCCUUUUCUGGGGUCAGGAGUGCCUGUUCUUGGCAAUAAAUCAAAGGAAGCAAAUUUCCUUUGAAUAGCCUGGACUUGAACAAAGCGGUCCAUCUCCCAGACAAGGCAGUAGACUUUGUGACUGCAGGAAAGAAGGAUGAUCUUUGAAGAGCAUGCACAGGGUUGUAUGCGAGUGUUGCCUUUUCAUAUUUUACUGCAGUGUGUAGAUUUGUGCCACAAUCCAGACAAAAAUCCCCAACUGAACGCUGUAUUACAGAAUGAGCAAAGGCUCUGGAGCACAGAGAAAUUGUCAAGACUUCUGCUGACACUACUGGCCUUUGAGUAGGGUGCCACAUGAUGAGUAUUCAGUUGCCUGUGGUGUCCAGUCAGAUAUUGUUACAUACCUGAAUCAAAACACACCUCCCUGCCUUACUGCCCCAGAGAAGGAGCUGCCUGUUAUCCUGUGAAAUUUCCUCUGCUUGUCUGUCAGGGCUGCUGUACUGUAAUCUUGGAGGAUAAUCAACAGCGAAACCAUUCAUAAAUCACAGCAAACAGAAAAGACGCCGAUAGGGUCUUAAAUUUCAAGCCUGUGAAGCCAUCAUUUCAACAAUGACAGUCAAAGGGGAGAUUAAGAAUUCUUUUACAUGGAAAAGUUUUUCUUGGAAGAGCAACCCUUUCUUUGGUUGCCUGUAACUGCAGUCAUGUGGAUUUGAUUUUUACAUGGCCCUUCUGCCCGCUUGCAGGGAAUGCUCUGCAGCCCCAACGGGCCUGUUCUCACACCAAACUGGCUUGUGGAGGGACAGCAGCGGGAUUGGAAUAAGGCAGCAAAAAUGAAGGACUUUGAUUUGCCCAGUGCUUACAGAGGCCAAAUGGGCUGCCUCUUUGGGAGGCAGUGGCAAGAUGUUCCAGACCCCUCUUGGCUCAAGUCCACCAUGCCUCUGGGUCCAACUGCAGAAUGGGACUAAGACUGGUGCCUUGUUUUAUGGUGCCAGUAAAGUAUUUGGAGAUUAACUGUACUUGCACCUCAUGGUGUUUAAAGGUGUGAGGGUAUUGUGAAGUCUGUUGCCAGAAAGGGAAUGUAGGGCUGGAUUAACACCGCACCUGGAGGGCAGGUGAUUUUUUUCUGAUCCAAGUGGAGUCUUGUCUUGCCCUGUUCAUUUGGACCAAGUGCUGUGCUAGGAAGAAAGGAGGGAGGCUGCAUAGUUCUUGCCUUCCCUGCUGUGGAUGUUGACCAGCAGUGAGAGCCUGAAGAAGAUGCAAGGGGAGCAGAGGAAGAAACACCAAGUGGUGGAAUACAGUCUGUAUGCAUCUGCUUCCUUCAGAUAGUCUUCCAUUUAGAGUGGAAACAAGGUGGCUCUCUGCUGGUUUGUUUACUCUCUCUGAUUUCUGGACAUACACCUUGCUCCCUCCUUCUGCUUUUCUAGCCUGCUUACUCCUGUGACAAGCAAGGGAAAAUAUCACCAUGGGAAGGACGCCUCUGUUCUAAGCAUGAUUAAAGAAGAAGAGCACACCAAAAGGUACUUUGAAGAAUUCAAAACUCUUUGAAAAAGCAUGUAUUUCGUAGCUUAAGAUUUUCUGGAAUUUUUUUUAAUGGAAGAAGCAUGGAUAACUGAGGAUAACUCUCCCCAGGAAAAUAAAACACGUCUUUUUUUCCCAGAUUUUUCUUGUAAGCAAUCAUUUAAAACACAGGACCAGAGCAGAGAUGUAAAGCCUCACUGAACAGCUUAGAGAUGAAAUUCUUGACUCAACAAAUAGGUGUCAUUAUAAGAACUCUUACAGUUCGUAUUCUUGGCUAGCCUGUUGUGAUAGUGUUGUGUCUCUUUGAUUUAUGACACAUUAUUCCCUCCUGUAAUGUCUAACAGUCAACGGCACAUUUCUUCUCCAGCUAUCCACCCCAUUUAGCACAUUUAUAAAGCUUGGAAGGACAACAGCAGCUCUCAAAUUGCCUGUUGGGAUGGGGCACGUUGAAAACGGCAUGACGCAGUGACACGUGAUGGACAAUGGGGGAGACGUUCUCUUAGCUCUAUUUCCUCCUGCUCUAAAUCAGCUAUGACAUGAAAGAAAUUAUUUGGCACCAUAUGGUGACCUGAGGAUUGGAAGGCCGUCUUCUUCCAAGAGCAGUAGCUGUCAACCUGUCACUUGUGGAAGAAAACCAAGAAAAGCAAUUCUAGUCAGCUUAAAUUCACUGUAGAGGAGCUGCGUUGCUGCUGAGUCCACAAAUGGGGGAGGGAAAGUCAGAACUCACUGUCCUAACUUUUCAAGUUAAAAGUCUUUGGUCCCCACGUCUAAGCUAAUAUCCCACUGAAAACCAACCUGAACAUCUCUCCAGGUGAAAGAGUGGGAGCUGAGACUGGAGCCUUGCUGAAGGAUAUCGGCCCAUAGAUGCUGUAACUCAGUAAAUUCAUUGCUGGAGGUCAUUUGCUGAAAAGUCUCCCACUUGUUUAUCCUCAUCAGCAGGCUCUUAGCAGAUCUCUCACAUACAUCCCUCCUCUGGGGCUGUCUAGGGGCGAGCCUGUAUCACUGGAAUCCACUCAGCCUUUUCUGAUUUCCAUAAUCAGAGGCAGAGAGAGCCUGACCUCUGUGUGGUGCUCAGAGGGACUGACCUGGGUACCUCUCGUCGGUUCUGCCCGUGCUGUAUCCAGCUGCUCAACAGAUGGGGCUGAGCCAAAUCCCCUGGGAUAGGAUCCAGGACUGGA
This is a long non-coding RNA of Passer domesticus (house sparrow), 5910 nucleotides long. RefSeq lists it as uncharacterized. Lineage: Eukaryota; Metazoa; Chordata; Aves; Passeriformes; Passeridae. The record is from RefSeq and is a predicted model, not a curated record. The transcript has 3 exons.